GAUCACAACCAGUUACAGAUUUC
RNAcentral lists this non-coding RNA (23 nucleotides) under Cricetulus griseus (Chinese hamster). Lineage: Eukaryota; Metazoa; Chordata; Mammalia; Rodentia; Cricetidae. The record is from RNAcentral.